RNAcentral lists this long non-coding RNA (1236 nucleotides) under Vombatus ursinus (common wombat). RNAcentral's name for it is "lncRNA (ENSVURG00010009909.1)". Lineage: Eukaryota; Metazoa; Chordata; Mammalia; Diprotodontia; Vombatidae. The record is from RNAcentral.
CGGGGAACUACGAUUCCCAGAAUCCUCUGGGCUGUGACCCGGCUGCUCCCAAAGGCAGUUUCCCAGCGACCUCCGCGGCUCAGCGGGUUUCUCGGGAGCAUUGGCCGCCUUUGAUCUCCGGGUUGCGGGGGCACGUGGGGGCGGCUCUGGCGAACCCGCGGGAGGGCCCCCGCCCAGACGCCCCAGGUCUUGGCUUCAGUGGAGCAGCCGAGAUGAAGGCGGUGGAAGAAGCUUGAAUCCAUCUAGAAGGAGACAGCCUUGAUUUCAGAUCUCCUGUCAAGAGUUUCCCCAGAGAAUCACAAGAAGUGAUACACCUUGGUGCUGAAGUUGUUCCCACCCUUCUUACCUGGGGAAGAUCAGGGAAGUCAUUGGACCAGUGAGGAGAGUGAACCUGGAGGAUCAGCCUCACCUGCUUGGGGAGAGAGGUGAGAAGUUAACUGAGGUAUUUGGGGAGGGGGGAGGAUAGCAUCCUAUCAGUGACAAAGUGCUUUACAUACCUUAUUUGAUUCUCCUAACCACACUGUGUAUAGGUAUUUUCCCCAUUUUUUAUAUGUGGAAAUUGAAGCCCAGAAAGUUUCAGGGAGGUCAUCAAAGCUACUUAAGUAUAGGAAGCUGGUAAUCAAAUCUCUAUUUUACUUGACUCUAGGAAGGCUCUUAAGUCAUGCUGCAUCUCUACUUUAGGGGAAGGGCCUCUGAGUAGGUAAUAAUAAGGAAAGGAGUCUUCCCUGUCAUUAGGAUAUCAAUAGAUUUAACAAAUGAGUGAGAGUGUCACUUUGGGCUUCUUAUUUAUCACAUCCUUGAUCCCAGUGCUCCCUAUGCUAUAAGAUAUCCUUUAGAGUAGAGAAGUUCUUUUUUUUUUUUUUUUUUUUUUUUUAGGCAAUUGGGGUUAAGUGAGUUGCCCAGGGUCACACAGCUGAGUAGAGAGGUUCUUAACCUGGUGAACUUGUUUUCAAAAGUAUUUUGGUAAGUAUAUUUCAACAUAAUUGAUUUCCUUUUGUAUUGCUAUUUUGUUUUAUGCAUUUAAAAACAUUAUUCUGAGAAGGAGAUCCAAAGGGGCAUUUUACAUAAAGAAAAGUUAAGAAUUCCUGCUGUAGAGAUCAGAGAUGACCUUUUCCCAUUGGUUGACAGCCCAAUUACCCCAUCCCUUUUCCAUGUCUUUCUCCUUAAAGGCCUCUGACAUUCUUGCCCUGAAAUAUCUGGUGUGUGAACUUAUCUUUUAACUGCUCAAAGUACUUU